GCAUUGGUGGUUCACUGGUAGAAUUCUCACCUUCCAUGUAGGAGACUGGAGUUCGAUUCCCAGCCAAUGCA
RNAcentral lists this transfer RNA (71 nucleotides) under Loxodonta africana (African savanna elephant). It matches the Rfam family "tRNA". From Rfam's summary of the family: Transfer RNA (tRNA) molecules are approximately 80 nucleotides in length. Their secondary structure includes four short double-helical elements and three loops (D, anti-codon, and T loops). Lineage: Eukaryota; Metazoa; Chordata; Mammalia; Proboscidea; Elephantidae. The record is from Rfam by way of RNAcentral.